UACGAAGGGUGCUAGCGUUGUUCGGAAUCACUGGGCGUAAAGCGCACGUAGGCGGCUUUGUAAGUCAGGGGUGAAAUCCCGGGGCUCAACCUCGGAACUGCCUCUGAUACUGCAAAUCUCGAGUCCGGAAGAGGUGGGUGGAAUUCCUAGUGUAGAGGUGAAAUUCGUAGAUAUUAGGAAGAACACCGGUGGCGAAGGCGGCCCACUGGGCCGGUACUGACGCUGAGGUGCGAAAGCGUGGGGAGCAAACAGG
RNAcentral lists this ribosomal RNA (253 nucleotides) under uncultured bacterium. RNAcentral describes it as "partial 16S ribosomal RNA". It matches the Rfam family "Bacterial small subunit ribosomal RNA", at positions 524 to 776 of the family's 1533-position model. The record is from RNAcentral.